AUUGAACGCUGGCGGCAUGCUUUACACAUGCAAGUCGAACGGUAACAGGCCUUCGGGUGCUGACGAGUGGCGAACGGGUGAGUAAUGCAUCGGAACGUGCCCAAUCGUGGGGGAUAACGUAGCGAAAGUUACGCUAAUACCGCAUAAGCCCUGAGGGGGAAAGCAGGGGAUCGCAAGACCUUGCGCGAAUGGAGCGGCCGAUGUCAGAUUAGCUAGUUGGUGGGGUAAAGGCCUACCAAGGCGACGAUCUGUAGCGGGUCUGAGAGGAUGAUCCGCCACACUGGGACUGAGACACGGCCCAGACUCCUACGGGAGGCAGCAGUGGGGAAUUUUGGACAAUGGGCGCAAGCCUGAUCCAGCCAUGCCGCGUGCGGGACGAAGG
This 382-nucleotide ribosomal RNA is filed under the name uncultured bacterium. RNAcentral's name for it is "bacterial SSU rRNA". It matches the Rfam family "Bacterial small subunit ribosomal RNA", at positions 29 to 414 of the family's 1533-position model. The record is from RNAcentral.